Molecule: long non-coding RNA, 4368 nt
Filed under: Octopus vulgaris (common octopus)
Lineage: Eukaryota; Metazoa; Mollusca; Cephalopoda; Octopoda; Octopodidae
Source: RNAcentral
ACCGGAUAUUUAUCUCAGACUUUCAAAAUCCAAGAGACAUUUCGCUGCCAUUCAAAACCCGUCCACCCCAAGAAAGACCCUCUUUGUUGUGAGAUUUAAAGUUAAAUGUUAAAGAAAUCCUAUUAACAUAUUAUUCUAUAACAUUUACGCAGUAACACACUUCACAACAAACUCUGACUUUUAAUAUUUACAGGGAAUUUGUCUGAUAUUUGUUUUUUCUUCUCUUCUGUUAUUCUUCACUCACAACUUUACUGCUUCAUUUACGGAAAAAAAGAUAUAGACGAGGUAAUAUUUCAAAUAGUUAUUUUCUUCAUUCAAUCGUCUAUUUUCCGUUCAUCAAUAUAAUGUUUCUCUUUGUUUGAUCCAUCAUAUAUUCGUAGCACCUCCGACUAGACUCAUAGAACACCUUCACGUCAGCGAAGAUUUUUUUAAUUAAAUAUUAAAUUAAAACGGUCAGUGCUAUAAUUAUUUACAGUAAUACUUCGCUUUACGAGUUUUAUCUCUCUCUAUAUAAAGCUGAAGUUGUCUGUGUGUGGCAGGUUUGGUAGCCUUCAACUAACACUAUCUCCUCUGAGACCCUGCAGCUCAAGUUGACCAAAAUUGAGAGUAUGAUAGAAGAAGGCUUGCUCUUCCUUCCGUAGAAGAAAAAUUCAAAUCGGACCAUGUUAACACCAAAAAUUAUUUACAUCAAAAAGGUGCUUUUUUUUCUAUGAAAAUCCCUAUUUUUUACGAUUUUUCGACUGCUGUGUCGCCAGUUUUCGGUGUAUUUCAACCAGAAAAAUGUUCACUUAAAGAGAAUAACAAGCUACAUAAUGCAAAAUUUUUACUUUUCAAAAAUUCUAACUCUAAAGGGUCGAAACAAACCCGAGCAACGCCGGGCGAUACUGCUAGUUCUAUAAUUAAUAUAAAAAUGUUAAACAGUCAUUAUGUGUGUGGCAACAUUGGUUCUGACACGUCUACACAGUUGCAGAGAGCGACGGAAUAAAAUGACAGGAUAAAAUUUCAAUUUUACCAAAAUUUAAAUGCCUUAGUUGCACGUGCGCUUUGUUGAAAGAGAUUGUAAGCUAAUUCUUCGUGCUCUGUAUUUUAUAUUGUGUACGUGUUUUUACUAUUUUCGGCAUUUUUAAAAAACCCACCCAAUAUGUCUAAACGAAAGUGUACAACGGACACCGACGGGAACAAAAAGAAACGGAAAGCCAUCACUUUAAAAACAAAGUAUGAAAUUGUAAAAAUGCACGAUGGUGGUACAACCGUGAAGAACAUUUGUGACAGGUUUUCACUUAAAUCGUCAACUGUCUGCACGAUUCUCAAAGAAAAACAAAAAUAUUUAUCUCAGGUGAGAAAUGCGCAGCCUUUGCAAUCGACGUGGUCUCGUAAAAGAGAUGCUGGAAGCAUUAUUCCGGAAAUGGAAAGACUUGUAAAUGCAUGGAUAACUGACACGACGCAACGAAUGCAGAUAUGAAUGUCAAUCAAGCGUCGAUCCGCAGCAAAGCUUUGUCCCUUUUCAAUCUGCUCAAAGAAAUGAAAGGCGACACAACCGAAACUUUUGUUGCGAGCAGAGGAUGGUUUGAGCGAUUUAAAAAUCGACAUGGGUGGCAUUCGGUCAGAGUGCAAGGCAAAGCACCAAACGCUGAUGUCGAUCCAGCAAAAACCUUUACAGAAACAUUGGCAGGAACGAUCGAAGAAGGGGGCUACGUGCCACAACUGAUUUUUAAUGUCAGUGAAACAGGACUUUUCUGGAAACGUCUGCCAUCCAAGAGCUCCAUUGUUAAGGAAGAAUCUGCACUGCCUGGUUUCAACGUUGCAAAAGAUCGACUGACAUUAUUAUUUGGAGGAAAUGCAUCUGGGGAUUUAAAAUUAAAACCAAUGCUAGUUUAUCGAACGGAAAACCCUAGGGCACUCAAAGGUAUCUUAAAAAGUACUCUUCCAGUCUUGUGGAAAUCUAAUGAAAAAGCUUGGGUUACGGCAACAUUAUUUGAAGAAUGGUUUUCAUACCACUUUGUACCGGAAGUUAAGAAAUAUUGUGAUAAGAACCAACUUCCAUUUCAUGCAAUGUUGAUUAUUAACAAUGCACCCAGCCACCCUCCAAUUCUGCAACAUCUCCAUCCUAAUGUCAAAGUUGUUUUUUUGCCUCUGGAUACAUCACUUUUGCAACCAAUGGACCAGGGUGUUAUUGCAGGUUUUAAAGCUCAUUAUUUACGUUAUACAUUUGCGAUGCUGAAUGAAGAAACGGUCAAAGAAGGGGGACCUACUGUAAUGGAAUUCUGGGAAAGUUACAACAUUUAUACUGCAGUGAAAAUCAUAAGAAAAGCAUGGGAUGAUAUCACUGAAAAGAAUAUGAAGAGUGCUUGGAAAAAACUUUGCCCUCAAUUUCUUAAUGAUUCUGAGGAUUUUGAAUCACUACAAGAAAGUGUUCAAAAAGAAACAGAAGAAAUUGUAAAACUGGCAAAUGAAUUGAAUCUCAACGUGUCAGCAAGUGACAUAGAUGAGCUGCUUCGAUCACAUAGUAACGAGCUUACUAACGAAGAACUUGUAGCAAUGCAAGAGGAGGCAACAGCAGAAAAGGAAACGGACACUGUUGAUGAAACGUCAGUUAAUGCGUUCACGUUGCAAGGACUCGCAGAAGCAUUUCAGCAUUUGGAUAAAGCGUUGGACAUUUUUCAAAGACAAGAUCCAAAUUUUGAACGAAGUGCAAAAGUUUUUACUGCCAUAACAAAUGCUUCUGCAUGUUACCGAGAAAUUUAUAAAGAGCAAAAAAAUGCUUCUUCUUAGCAAACAACUCUAGACUUGUUUUCUAAAAAAAGAAAUCUACAAGUCUGUCUUUGGGUGCUUGUGAAUCAGCGAUCGUGUCUGCAAGUGAUGGUGUGUGUGUGAGUGAAAGUGAUUCAGAAAACAAUUAUAUUUUCUAAUAAAUGAUCCAGACAUUCUUUUUACUUUCCAUUCUGCUGUUGUUUUAUUGCCAUUUAUUUGCGAGUAUUUACUCUUUUACUUGUUUCAGUCAUGUGACUGUGGCCAUGCUGGAGCACCACCUUUUUAGUUGAGCAAAUCGACCCCAGGACUUAUUCUAUCGGUCUCUUUUUGCCGAACUGCUAAGUGACGGGGACGUAAACACACCAGCAUCGGUUGUCAAGCGAUGUUGGGGGGGAGGGGACAAACGCAGACACACAAACAUAUGCACAUACAUAUAUAUAUACGUAUAUACGACGGGCAACUUUCUUACCUUCCUGUGAUUCCACUAAAGUGUUAGUACAGAGUGUAAUAUGAAAUUAAAUAAUUGACAAAGGAACAGGAAAUUAUGCAAUGAACUUGAUGAGCUUACAGCUGCUGCUACUAUAAGAUGCAGUACAUUCAGAGCUGGGUCCUUCUGCAUCCGCUCAUAGCUUCCAAAAUGAAGUGCAACUUUAUUUGGGAAAACAUUUACGUAUAUGGAAAAGAACAUCACCGAAUUAAAUAAAAAAUAUUGUUUUGGUGAACCUGUCUACAAUGUUGUUUCAGGCUGUCUGCUGAUGCAGAUUGUUUUCUAUACCCACUACAAGUAGAUGUGGAGACGCAAUGGCCCAGUGGUUAGGGCAGCAGACUCGCGGUUUUGAUUCCCAGACCGGGCGUUGUGAGUGUUUAUUGAGCGAAAACACCUAAAAGCUCCACGAGGCUCUGGCAGGGGAUGGUGGUGAUCCCUGCUGUACUCUUUCACCACAACUUUCUCUCACUCUUACUUCCUGUUUCUGUUGUACCUGUAUUUCAAGGGGCCGGCCUUGUCACGCUGAAUAUCCCCGAGAACUACGUUAAGGGUACACGUGUCUGUGGAGUGCUCAGCCACUUACAUGUUAAUUUCACGAGCAGGCUGUUCCGUUGAUCGGAUCAACUGGAACCCUCAUCGUCGUAACCGACGGAGUGCUUCCACCACAAGUAGAUAUGCUGCAUAAUGCAUAAUUAACAACUACUUUCUGUUUGUGGUUUCUCAGAUAACUCCUAAGGCCUGUCUUACUCAGACAGAUGUAAACAUAAUUUGUUACAUGUUAAAUUGGGCUGUACGCCAACACAUUCAGGUAAAUCAACAUUAAGCCCCUAACAAACAUUUCUCUUGAGCUUUUCAUACUUGAUACAAUUUUGUUUGGAUUCUUUCCUUCCAUCAUACAGUACUUUCCUUCAAGCUGAACAAUCUAGAAUGUGAUUUUCUCAUCCAUUUCCCAAGAUUUUGACCUUCUCCAGUGUAUUCUUCAUGCAAUCUUUAUACCUUAAUUUCAGUCUGUGGGCUGGUCCUUAUAUUUGUCCCCCCCCACCACCACUUAACAACCAGUGUCUGUGUAUUUACGUCUUCAUAACUUAGUGGUUUGGCAAAAGAGACCAGGAGAAUAAAUGCCAAGCUUU